CGAAUGCUGACAUAAGUAACGAUAAAGCGGGUGAAAAGCCCGCUCGCCGGAAGACCAAGGGUUCCUGUCCAACGUUAAUCGGGGCAGGGUGAGUCGACCCCUAAGGCGAGGCCGAAAGGCGUAGUCGAUGGGAAACAGGUUAAUAUUCCUGUACUUGGUGUUACUGCGAAGGGGGGACGGAGAAGGCUAUGUUGGCCGGGCGACGGUUGUCCCGGUUUAAGCGUGUAGGCUGGUUUUCCAGGCAAAUCCGGAAAAUCAAGGCUGAGGCGUGAUGACGAGGCACUACGGUGCUGAAGCAACAAAUGCCCUGCUUCCAGGAAAAGCCUCUAAGCAUCAGGUAACAUCAAAUCGUACCCCAAACCGACACAGGUGGUCAGGUAGAGAAUACCAAGGCGCUUGAGAGAACUCGGGUGAAGGAACUAGGCAAAAUGGUGCCGUAACUUCGGGAGAAGGCACGCUGAUAUGUAGGUGAAGUCCCUCGCGGAUGGAGCUGAAAUCAGUCGAAGAUACCAGCUGGCUGCAACUGUUUAUUAAAAACACAGCACUGUGCAAACACGAAAGUGGACGUAUACGGUGUGACGCCU
RNAcentral lists this ribosomal RNA (584 nucleotides) under Escherichia coli. Its description in RNAcentral is "partial 23S ribosomal RNA". It matches the Rfam family "Bacterial large subunit ribosomal RNA", at positions 1291 to 1860 of the family's 2925-position model. Lineage: Bacteria; Pseudomonadati; Pseudomonadota; Gammaproteobacteria; Enterobacterales; Enterobacteriaceae. The record is from RNAcentral.